Molecule: small RNA, 212 nt
Filed under: Paenibacillus uliginis
Lineage: Bacteria; Bacillati; Bacillota; Bacilli; Caryophanales; Paenibacillaceae
Also listed under: 1 other name
Description: c-di-AMP sequence
Rfam family: c-di-AMP riboswitch aptamer (ydaO/yuaA leader)
About the family: This family represents a conserved RNA structure found upstream of the ydaO and yuaA genes in Bacillus subtilis and related genes in other bacteria. The ydaO/yuaA element is thought to act as a genetic "off" switch for the ydaO and yuaA genes in its native state. It is believed that the element may be triggered during osmotic shock leading to activation of ydaO, a predicted amino acid transporter gene, and members of the yuaA-yubG operon which code for KtrA and KtrB K+ transporters.
Source: RNAcentral
UGAACCGUCUCGCUUAAUCUCCGAUAUUCGGAGAACGGGGGAACCGAUACAGGAAUAGCUGGCAAUCAUGCUGCGCUCCACUGUAUUUGAUUUCUUUUUGGGUCUUUGGGGUGAAUUUGAAGGCAGCCGCCAUGAGCGGGUGACUUGAGAUAGGGCGUCUCUCUUACGUCCGAACCCGACAGCUAACUCCGUAAGCGUAAGUAAGAGAGGCA